This 441-nucleotide ribosomal RNA is filed under the name uncultured bacterium. Its description in RNAcentral is "partial 16S ribosomal RNA". It matches the Rfam family "Bacterial small subunit ribosomal RNA", at positions 338 to 795 of the family's 1533-position model. The record is from RNAcentral.
CCUACGGGUGGCAGCAGUGGGGAAUAUUGCGCAAUGGGGGUAACCCUGACGCAGCAACGCCGCGUGAUUGAAGAAGGCCUUCGGGUUGUAAAGAUCUUUAAUCAGGGACGAAAAAUGACGGUACCGGAAGAAUAAGCUGCGGCUAACUACGUGCCAGCAGCCGAGGGAAUACGGAGGGAGCAAGCGUUAUCCGGAUUUACUGGGUGUAAAGGGCGUGUAGGGGGGCUUGUAAGUCAGAAGUGAAAUCUGGGGGCUUAACCCCCAAACUGCUUUUGAAACUGGGGGUCUUGAGUGAUGGAGAGGCAGGCGGAAUUCCCAGUGUAGCGGUGAAAUGCGUAGAUAUUGGGAGGAACACCAGUGGCGAAGGCGGCCUGCUGGACAUUAACUGACGCUGAGGCGCGAAAGCGUGGGGAGCAAACAGGAUUAGAUACCCGAGUAGUC